This 4904-nucleotide unclassified non-coding RNA is filed under the name Pomacea canaliculata. RNAcentral describes it as "uncharacterized LOC112562325, transcript variant X3". Lineage: Eukaryota; Metazoa; Mollusca; Gastropoda; Architaenioglossa; Ampullariidae. The record is from RNAcentral.
AAUGUGCUAACGUUCGCUUGAAGCCUGUUGGCUUUGACAAACAUGGACGAAAGUUUGAACAAUGCUUCUUCAUGAGGGUUCUAGAAAAUCUUUUUUUAACUUGGUCAAACGUUUGUCUACAUGCAUCUUGGAAUUCGGUGUCGCCAUUGAAGACUUUAGUCCUCAAACCUUCUGUACAAUUAAUUCGCUGACAUGACGGAAAGCUUUGAACUUUCAUCUGAGGAGGAAUCCGGUUUAACUGACACAACAGUCGCAAUAGCUUAUCCUACACCAUGCAUUCAGUUAAAAUGCUAACAAACGGUUAGCAGUUUAGCUGGCUGCUUGGAGUUAGCAUCCAGCUAGAUGGCUGGGCUCCGGUUCCAGGAGUCACAAAUUGCAGACACACAAAUGAAAAGAGUAAUUAAUGAUGAUGAUGGCGAUGGUAACGAUAACCAGUAAGGUAAGGAAAGGGUAAGAAGAAAAGUAAGGAUGUGAGACUCGGUUGACCUAAACAAGAUUUUUCACGAUUGAUGGCUGGAAAGCACGAUUUGAGAAGAGGCGGUGCUCAUUCAUUUUUAUUGAUUCUUAAACGCCAUAUUGUUUACAUGAAGUGUUGUCCGAAUACAAUGUUAUUUACAAACAAUGCGGUCAGGAUGGUAUGACAGCAUGCAAUAUUAUAAUGCAAAAUAUCUGCAUGAAGUAUUACAAGUACACAAUGUUACCGAGAUGUAAUGUUACCUAACUGCCGUGAUUUCUGUUUAAAGUAAUGAUAGCAGACUGUUAGUUGAUGAAUGAAAUAUUAAUUAAAUGCAGUGUAAUUUGAAUGUAAUGUUAUCAGCAUGGAUGAUCAUGUGAAUUGAAUGUUAUCUGUGAAUGUCUCGUCUGAAGAAUCAGUAAUAUAAAGAGUUAUUUUACGCCCCAAAAUCUGUGCGGAUGCAUGAGAACAUCCGGGUAUUAAAGUGGGUGAGGCUGACUCACACCAAGACCAGAAAUAUUCAACGGCAUCACAAGGAUUAGGUCGUGCCACCCAAGCUGAGUCUUGAGGCAUUUCCUUCUUUCUGUUUUUUUUUUUAAUCAGAUCAUACCCCACCCUCAUCAUAUCUUUCCUGAAGACUUACCCUUUCCUUUCUUGAUGAUGAUGGACAGGAGAGAAGAACCGGUUGCUGACGGCUCUGUGGUUUAAGUAACCGGAGAUUGCUACUAUCUUCUUGUCGACAAUUCUCACACAGCGCUUUAAAAACUUAACUCAAAAUUUUUAGUAAAUAAAAAAUGUUUCAUCCCCUCCACUUUCUCCAAACCAACACACAUAACACCACAUACAGUACAUUAACCACUAAGAUAGGAUUGUUGGGAUUUGAUUGGUUAUCGGCUCAGCACGGAUAAUGACAGUUUACUGAGACUGAUAAGCACCACUCGACAACAGCUUUUCCGAGCGCUUGUUUUCAAGGCCAAUGAAGUCCAGGUCAUUGUCAAAUGUUUCUAAUAAAUAUCUUGGCUUUACUUUGCUGUCUGGCUGCUCAGUGGUCUGUCUCCUCCGUCAGUAAGGCAGUGCAGCAUGUUCAUUAAUUGUCUUAAUUUUAUUUAAUUUUCAUCUGUUUGCUAUGUUUCUCAGUUUCAGUUCAUCCAAUUUGAUUAGGAUGGCGAACCUGGUGUCAAGUGUCAUCCAAGUGCUAACCUUUCACCUCCGUCUUUGAACAGCACUGUCAAGCCCUCUCGGAGGAGCAGCUAGUACUAGUGGAGCACUUGACUCUCUCCUCCUUGCCCUUCCCCACAACCCUCAUGGCCUGCACUACACACUUGGCUCGGUGGUGGUAAGUCUGAACUUCUUGCAUUUGUUACUUGUCGCUUGUGACUAAGAAAGCUCGAUGCACGUUCCGAGAACACUAAGUGUGCUAAUUUAUGCUAAUGUAUUCUGUUGUUCAUCAGAGCAGAUGAAUCAUGGGGAACUCUAAGAAUGGCUGAAAUCCUCAGAAAAUCCCUGAUUCAUGACGGAUUAUGUUGACAUCACGCGCGGAAGUUUCUAGAGCCUGGUGCAGUACAAGGAGUGUUUGUUAGUGGCUGUUAUUAUGUUUCUAAGCACGUGAUGCACGGCAUGAAUUGCAACAGAAAAAUACACUUUAGUUUGGCGAAGCACGAAUGUUGGGCAGAGGUCCUUCUGCUCACUGUUCUAAGCAACAACAAUGUCAUCAAUCUUGGGCUAAGGCUGGCCAGAACCUGAGACUUGAUUGAUAUCAGCGUUCGUUUUCUUUUGCUCCGCGAUAACUCUUUCCCAAAUCCUGGCGUAGGGGCAAAUAACUGAGAUAGCGAAACCCCAGGGGAGAUAACUGGCCUUUCUCGCGGUUCACCCCCUUGACCUACUCCAAAGGACUCUAUUAAAUAAUUACUAACAUAAAGGAGCUUUGCUAUUUUACAGCUCAAGACAGGCUAAUUCACAUACUCCCUGCUCUCGAGGUAGAUAUGAACUCCAUUUUGUCCACAGUCUGCUCGGGUGGACCAGGUAGUUCAGGUAAACACACUGGAGGUGGGGUGGACCAGGUAGUUAACACUGGAGGUGGUUUUGAACGAGGUCUGUGAGAGGAUGACCAAAGCAUAAGCACUCGCCUCUGCCAUGUCAGCACGACAGUCGAGUUCGGAGGCAGAUUCACCAAGUGCUCAUGUCCAGUCUUCAACGGCCAAGACAGGGAAGCAAAGCACCGGUGGUUCGCCACCAAACACCAGACAGGGAGGGCAAGCCACCCCGCAACGACAGCCCAGUCUCGGAGGAAAUUCUACUCAGUCACGGCCAGCCACAAGACGAGAAGACGCAGAGCUCAGCCCUCGCAACAGCCUGAAAGAGACAGGACCUGCAAUUUCCAGACAUUCCAGUUCAAGGAUCAAGAACCGAGCAUCUGAUGGAGUUGACCCCGCUAGCGAGACGACCUCUGCGGCGGAGAGUAAACGCGGUCUGGACGAUGUUGAGAAGCUCUCGCAGGCGGCAAGGAGUCGAAGCUCGACCCACAGGGAAAAGGACAGAAUUAAAGACAAGCACUCAAACCCUGAGGUUAACGAAGAGAAAGACAAGGAAGAUGAAAAAUCCGCCAGUGAUGCAGCUUUCAACAGCGAUGUUCUUGGGAUCGAGAGGUACAGCAGCUGCAGUCGGGUGGAUGCAGCUGGUGCUCGCGCUGUGCUAGACUUCGGACCGGAGGUGUGCAGCUGUUUCCCCUCCCGCAGCAGCCACACGGUGCCGUCUAUGCUGUACGACCAGGUCCACUGCCUACACUGUCACGUGACAGGUCACGCCCACGUGGGCGUUUUCCAUUUCGAUGAUAACUGGGACGCCAAUGUACGCAAUGUGAAGUCAACGGAUCGACAUCCGCCCACCAAGAAAUACAUCAGCGGCUACCCAUAUUUCCAGCUCUCAGAAUUUCAAGAAGACGACCACAGCGCUGGCAAAGAAAAAUCACACAACACGACAACUGAAAGAUCACGUGCAGGACAACGAGGUUAGAAAACACACACCUGCACUGAAGCUAGAGCAGCCAGGUGCGUGCUGACCCGAGCGACAACGGAGAAGCCGAGUUCACUUCUAAAAAUAGAAGACACGUCACUGAACAUCUCUCACGAACGGGAGGCGAAUAGAGGGGAGACAAAACUGUGCCGGUGACCGUGGAAACGCCAUCCCGUGUGGCCAGUCAGUCCUCUUUGGUGGAAACAUUCCAGAGACACGACCUCAGCCGGUGAAUUCGUAUCGAGGUCCAGGACCUUCCGGGGACAGUUUUACGAUCCUGCCACAGACGAGUGUUACAUAUUUGACAUCACCCCUGAUUUCGGGAGACGACUCGACCAGUGGAAUGCUCGCAAGGAACUAACGAGACAGAGAACUCGCGACACCAAGAAGACAAAGGGAGACAAUUACUGAUUCUGGCAUUGUAGGUCAUUAAUUAGGUUUGCUCAGGAAAACUGCAUUGGAAGAUUUCCAUUUUAAGAAAAUUAACAAUUAUAUGUAUAGAUUAACGACAAAGAAUAUGUGUGCUAAACUUUAUUUACAGAAUAGGAAGGGCAUUUGUCUGCAACAAAAAUGAAAAGGAAAAAUAGACCGGCAAACGUGAUGGACCUCCAAGGACAAUAAUUUUUUUUCUGUUUUCGCUUCAUUAUAAAUCAGUCAUUAAAUAAGUUACAAAAAAAUGUCAUAUUUCAUGUCACAGCACAGAUGUUAGAAAUCCCAGAUUUUAAACAAGAACAGUUUCUAUUUAGAACUAUUUUCCUUCCAGCUCCUCAAGAAAGGAUGAAGUGUGAUACAUUCACACAUAACUGACAUAAUCACCAAUUUAUGUGUGACUCAUUAUACUUACACCAGCCAAUACUAAACACGCACAACAUCAUCUAUUUAAGACUUUAUUUUGAAAAAUAUUUCAAAUCAGGAGCAUAAAUAAUAAUCUGACUGCUUUCCAUGCAACAUUCAGUGUUUGAGGAUGAAUUGCGGCUUCUGACAACAAGCAAGUUAACAAGAUACAGAGCAAGACCUGCUAAACAGAGACACAAAAGGGAAGGAAGGAAGAAGAAAAUCAUAUGUAAAGAACAGUUUCGUUUUUUGUUCCGAAAUUAGACAAGUUCUUUUUCUGCAUAGACUGUCAAUACAUCCGAAAAAAAAAGUUUUAGCAUCUACUUCAUAAAUUUUCUGACAAGACAUCUAAUCAUGACUGGUACCAUGUUUAAAUGUCGAAGCACUGAUGAUUUUAUCAACUGUGGACUUUUAAUUUCAAGAUAUUCUCGUGUUAUUAUUUAUGGGAAGCCCAUAGAAAAAAAAACAAGGAAAGCAACAACAUAAACAUUAUGGGAUGCUCCGGCAAGCCCUGCGUUCUCCUCUAUCAUAUUAUCAGAUAAUUGUUGCACGAGGCUCACUGGAAGCUGCUUUGCCAUAGUUUAUAUCUGUAAAAAAAAAAAAA